This 253-nucleotide ribosomal RNA is filed under the name uncultured bacterium. RNAcentral describes it as "partial 16S ribosomal RNA". It matches the Rfam family "Bacterial small subunit ribosomal RNA", at positions 524 to 776 of the family's 1533-position model. The record is from RNAcentral.
UACAGAGGUCUCAAGCGUUGUUCGGAUUCAUUGGGCGUAAAGGGUGCGUAGGUGGCGCCGUAAGUCGGGUGUGAAAUUUCGAGGCUUAACCUCGAAACUGCAUUCGAUACUGCGGUGCUUGAGGACUGGAGAGGAGACUGGAAUUCAUGGUGUAGCAGUGAAAUGCGUAGAGAUCAUGAGGAAGACCAGUGGCGAAGGCGGGUCUCUGGACAGUUCCUGACGCUGAGGCACGAAGGCCAGGGGAGCAAACGGG